Brachypodium distachyon (stiff brome) is the source of this 1745-nucleotide long non-coding RNA. RefSeq lists it as uncharacterized. The record is from RefSeq and is a predicted model, not a curated record. Lineage: Eukaryota; Viridiplantae; Streptophyta; Magnoliopsida; Poales; Poaceae. The transcript has 6 exons.
CCUGGGCCCUGGCCCAUCUCGCUCCCAACGGUCGAACUCCGUCGCUCGUCUUCCUCCUCGACCGAGCGCCGCCAUCCAUCCCGCUGCCGAGCGCCCCAACCCCGUCGCUCCGUCGCUCGUAUUCCUCCUCGCGCGAGCGCCCCAACCCCGUCGCUCGUCUUCCUCCUCGAGCGAGCGCCGCCACCCGUCCCGCUGCCGAGCGCCCCAGCCCCCUCGCUCCAUCGAUCGCUCGUCUUCCUCCUCGCGCGAGCGCCUCCACCGCAGGCAUCUAUCCCCGCUUCAAUUCUCUCGUUCCCGACCGUUUCUCCUCCCAUCACCCCACCAACAGAUCCCCGCUUCAUCUCCUUAAUCUUCCCCAAUUCGUGACUGAGGCAAAAAUCAAGGCCGCCCUACCUUGCCCUACCGAGUCCUCCGCCCUUGACUGUGAACCGGGUUGUCCCCUUAUUUAUAAUGUCGUGUGAUGUGUCGAAUACUACUUACGUUCUCCCUGUGCGAAUUCGGAUGUAGCAGUCUUGUAGCCCUUCAGCGAGCUCGGUUUUCUCCCUCCAAAGUUCCAACUCAGCUUUUCCCUUCAGCGACCGAGAUGUUUUCGAACAAUAAUGAUACUUUUACCAUGUUUAUAUAUGCUUAAUUUUAUUGUUCCGUUGCAACCUCGCACAGGCAUUGUACCAGUUCUUGUAAAAUUCCUACGUUCAUUUUUCACCAUCCGAAGACAACUCUACCAAUAUUCUUGUGUUUUGAAAUCCUGUAGGAAUUCUUGUCUGGAACCUUAUCAUGUUAUAACCUUCCAACCGGGACAUAUGUCUGAAGAUUGCUCUGCAGGUAGCAAAUAAGCUAUUUCCCAUGGCAAUCAUUUCUAAAAGGAUUGAAGAUUUUGCAAAUGAAAAUUUUGAUUCAGUGCUGGAAGUGAUUCCAGCUACUGAAUCUGCCAAAGCUGCUGAAAUGGCUACAUCUGAAGUUCACGAGAAUGUGGAUUGUAUCUUACUGCCAGAAGCAUUCCCUUCUCCGGUGUGUAUUUGCAAUAUAUGGUAGUUUACCACAGGGGGCCAAACAGUUCACAGACAAGUACCUAUUCUGAUUCGCACGAUAAGAUCCUCUCCUGAUCUUCUUGGGAUCAUCUCAGAUCCACCAGCUGACAGUCGGGACCUCCUCAGGCAGGUUUUACAAACUCCCACUGAUGGAGCAGUGCCAUCUCAAGAUCUGAUUUCCUCCAUAAAGAACUUUCUCUGUACCCGAGACCCAGGUUUUGGAUGCAUGUGCUGCUUGCUUUGAGCAAAGGACAAUGUUCACUCAGCAAGUUUUGGCAAAAGCUCUAAAUCAAUUGGCGGGGUCACGGUAUCUCAAAACCGGUGGUAGCCCACGUAAACGGGCAAAACGGUGAAUUUUCUGCACUGCCCGAAACUGCACGAAAAUGUGUACCCGGAGUCACGGUAUCGUGAAAUUGUCAAGGAGCCCAAAUAACGUGUGUUAUAGCCCACUAAAACGGCCAAACGGAGAAUUUUCUGCACUAGCCCGAAACUGCUCAAAAACGUGUACCUGGCAUGACGGUAUCGUGAAAUUGUCCGGGAACCCAAAAAAUGUGUUUUAUAGCCCACGAACACGGCCAAAGCGGUGAAUUUUCUUCACCGAAAACGUGUAUCCGUGGUCACGGUAUCGUGAAAUCGGUUGGGAACCCAAAAGCCCACGAAAAUGGUGAAAACGGUGAAUUUUCUGCACUGGCCCGAAACUGCCCGAAAACGUAUACC